CAAGCAUAGUUAUUUAUCGUCUUUUGGGAGAGAGACAUCACUAGUGAACAUCAUGUGACUCCGGUCCAUAUCACCAUCAUUGUUUACACCUCCAUCAUUUAUCGCUUUCAUUUACUUUUCCAUUGCAAUCACUAUUACCUUCCUGCUUGUGUUUUGAUCCUUUGCAAACUACAAGGUCGGGGAGAUUGACAACCUCUUUGUACUCGUUAGGAGCAAAGUUAUUUGUUGUGUGUGCAGGUCCACAUCUUCUGCUAGCGCCAGGGUGGAAGACACCUACUUGUUGAGCCUAGGAGUCCUCCUGGUUCGAUAAACCUUACAGUCUUCGUGUAAGGGAAAUCAGCUGCUGACUACAUCUCCACCUUCCACUUGGGGUAACCAACGAGGGGCGAGAAGUAUAUCCAUCAACUCAUCAUCAUGUGUGCAGGUCCACAUCUUCUGCUAGC
RNAcentral lists this long non-coding RNA (443 nucleotides) under Hordeum vulgare. RNAcentral describes it as "long non-coding RNA (HVUL_LNC007894)". Lineage: Eukaryota; Viridiplantae; Streptophyta; Magnoliopsida; Poales; Poaceae. The record is from RNAcentral.